AAAAUAUUUUGAAAUUUAUACAGUUUGUAAACCAAAGGCUUAUGCAGAAUCAGCAACAGACGAACUUCACCAGCUGAUCAAAAAACACACUCUACUUGUUUAAUAUAUAAUCAAAGCACAUUCUAAACAACGAGUUUAUUACAAUCAUACGUGUUACGUGCGCACAUAGAUGACCUUAACGUAUAUG
This is a long non-coding RNA of Bradysia coprophila, 187 nucleotides long. The record is from RefSeq and is a predicted model, not a curated record. NCBI's taxonomy places the organism in Eukaryota, Metazoa, Arthropoda, Insecta, Diptera, Sciaridae.